RNAcentral lists this ribosomal RNA (427 nucleotides) under uncultured bacterium. RNAcentral describes it as "bacterial SSU rRNA". It matches the Rfam family "Bacterial small subunit ribosomal RNA", at positions 9 to 418 of the family's 1533-position model. The record is from RNAcentral.
GAGUUUGAUCGUGGCUCAGGACGAACGCUGGCGGCGUGUCUAACACAUGCAAGUCGAACGGGGUACCCGGAAGUGAGGCUUCGGCCAAGCGGAAGGACUACCUAGUGGCGGACGGGUGAGUAACGCGUGAGCAACCUGCCUUUCAGAGGGGGAUAACGGCUGGAAACGGCCGCUAAUACCGCAUAACGCAUGAAGGGGGCAUCCCUUUUGUGCCAAAGAUUUAUCGCUGAAAGAUGGGCUCGCGUCUGAUUAGCUAGUUGGUGAGGUAACGGCCCACCAAGGCGACGAUCAGUAGCCGGACUGAGAGGUUGAACGGCCACAUUGGGACUGAGAUACGGCCCAGACUCCUACGGGAGGCAGCAGUGAAGAAUAUUGCGCAAUGGGGGCAACCCUGACGCAGCAACGCCGCGUGAAGGAUGAAGGUUUU